UGGGGGAUAUUGCACAAUGGGCGAAAGCCUGAUGCAGCGACGCCGCGUGGGGGAUGAAGGCCUUCGGGUUGUAAACUUCUUUUGCUCUGAACAAGGCGCACCAUGGGGUGUGUUGAGUGUAGGGGUUGAUUAGCGCCGGCUAACUACGUGCCAGCAGCCGCGGUAAUACGUAGGGCGCGAGCGUUGUCCGGAAUUAUUGGGCGUAAAGGGCUUGUAGGUGGCUGGUUGCGUCUGUCGUGAAAGCUCAUGGCUUAACUGUGGGUUUGCGGUGGGUACGGGCUGGCUUGAGUGCAGUAGGGGAGGCUGGAAUUCCUGGUGUAGCGUUGGAAUGCGCAGAUAUCAGGAGGAAUACCGGUGGCGAAGGCGGGUCUCUGGGCUGUUACUGACACUGAGGAGCGAAAGCAUGGGGAGCGAACAGG
This 419-nucleotide ribosomal RNA is filed under the name bacterium. Its description in RNAcentral is "partial 16S ribosomal RNA". It matches the Rfam family "Bacterial small subunit ribosomal RNA", at positions 355 to 776 of the family's 1533-position model. The record is from RNAcentral.